CGGCGUGCCUAACACAUGCAAGUCGAACGAAGCAUGAUUGAAGGAGACUCGGUCAAUGGAUAUCAUGACUUAGUGGCGGACGGGUGAGUAAUACAUGAGCAACCUGCCUUUCAGAGGGGGACAACAGCUGGAAACGGCUGCUAAUACCGCAUAACGUGCGAGAGGGGCAUCCCUUUUGUACCAAAGGAGCAAUCCGCUGAAAGAUGGGCUCAUGACUGAUUAGUUAGUUGGCAGGGCAACGGCCUACCAAGACUGCGAUCAGUAGCCGGACUGAGAGGUUGAACGGCCACAUUGGGACUGAGAUACGGCCCAGACUCCUACGGGAGGCAGCAGUGGGGAAUAUUGGGCAAUGGGCGAAAGCCUCGACCCAGCAACGCCGCGUGAAGGAAGAAGGUCUUCGGAUUGUAAACUUCUUUUAUGAGGGACGAAGGACGUGACGGUACCUCAUGAAUAAGCCACGGCUAACUACGUGCCAGCCGCGGC
This 483-nucleotide ribosomal RNA is filed under the name uncultured bacterium. RNAcentral describes it as "bacterial SSU rRNA". It matches the Rfam family "Bacterial small subunit ribosomal RNA", at positions 40 to 518 of the family's 1533-position model. The record is from RNAcentral.